UAUUCUUCUUUAUAUAUAUGUGUAUCAUUCGGCUAGUAGCACAAAAAGGGAAGAAAAAAAAAAACACCCUCAAACUUUCAAUAAUAAAUUAGUAACAAUCAUAUAACAACUAAAUAAUAUCGCAAUCUUGCAAGAAAAUCGAUCCUCAUCAGAUAUACACGCCUACUACUCAAUUUUGGGGCUGGGAACAGCUCAAUCAACUCACAACAGCCACAAAUCAGCUUCAUUUGGAGUAUCUAAGGUGUAACCAUCUUGUUCAACUUCGUUUCUACCGUUCAAACAGCUCUCCUUCAGCCUUCAUUCUAUUUGUUGCUGAUCUUCAAAGGUUUAGCCGUUCGUAGGAGUUAACUACCAUCCUGUGCAUACUUCAUUUGAUCUCAGGUCAUCUUCAAAAGGUGCAAGGAACUAAGUUCUCGUUCGUUUACUAUGUCAGUAUAUGUUGAAGUCUCUUCUAGUAAACGUACUUCUAUCUAGCUAUAACUCAGUGUAACCUUGAUGUGCUCAAUUUUUGGUACUUAUGUAUUUAGCGAGUACAUCUCUUUGUACAUUGAAAUCUUGUACUUUAUUAAUGUAAGUUAUGGUGUGUUGUGAUCUA
Long non-coding RNA from Erigeron canadensis, 595 nucleotides. RefSeq lists it as uncharacterized. NCBI's taxonomy places the organism in Eukaryota, Viridiplantae, Streptophyta, Magnoliopsida, Asterales, Asteraceae. The transcript is spliced from 4 exons. The record is from RefSeq and is a predicted model, not a curated record.